This 29-nucleotide non-coding RNA is filed under the name Mus musculus (house mouse). The record is from RNAcentral. Lineage: Eukaryota; Metazoa; Chordata; Mammalia; Rodentia; Muridae.
UCAGAACCUUGUCUUCUACCACGAGCCAG